Molecule: unclassified non-coding RNA, 600 nt
Filed under: Hevea brasiliensis (rubber tree)
Lineage: Eukaryota; Viridiplantae; Streptophyta; Magnoliopsida; Malpighiales; Euphorbiaceae
Source: RNAcentral
GUGUUGCCUUUUGCCUUGAUAACAGUGAUCAUAAGCCAAAUAGUUGAACUUAUUUGUGGUUAAUAAAAAAAGAAAAAGAAGUUUUCCGAUAUGCCAAGUUUUCUCUCCCUAAGUCAUGGUUGAAACAUAUAUUCCUUCUUUUGUGUUUCAAAUUUUUUUCCUAACUCGUAAAAGUUGUUCGAUAGUUCAAUAUUCAUAAUAUAAGUAAGGAGGAAAAUAUACAACUCCCUCAGAUGACAUGUUUAAUCUAAUUGUACCUUGUGGUCAUUAAUUUCAACUUGUAAUCUUUGAAUUUCAAUCUACAUAGGAUAUCAUUGAAAAUAUAAUUCAAAGCUCUUACCAGCCUUAAGUACUCAUUUUUGCCCAAAAUGAAUGUCAAAAUUGGAACCAAGAUGUUGAAAUUAGUGGGUAAUUUUGCCAAGAUUAUCCGACAUGGUAGAUGUUGAUGUGGUAUUGUUAGGUGACUUGGCAUUGACAUGGCAAGAUUCUGUGCAAGCGGAUUCACAAUAACAUGUUACAUAACAGCCUGCAAACUUACUGAAACAGAGGAAUAGAGAGAGAAAAAGAGAGAAAAAAGUGAGAAAACAGAUAGAUUGGAUG